ACUCAGUAAAGGCAUCAGUAGACACACACUCUUAAUUUUCAUACACACAGUGUAAUUGUUCUUCUGUGUAGAUAUUUUUAUGGUAUGAUAUUUAUCAGUGUGACACAUCCACCAAUUUCUCUCCUAGGGAAAAACCUCAAAGUCUGAACCUUGAGAAAUUGUGAUGGAGUGGCAACACAGAAGGAUCUAGUCAAAGUCUUCACACAAGCUAUUUUUAACCUGGAUGUGUUCUGCGAUUUGUUUCCCACACAGCAUUGAAACUGGCACAGCUGAGGGGAGCCAGCAGAGCCAGCCCAGCUCCCAGGUCCUCCAGGAACCUUGUGGGACCUUGUGGAAGAGAAGAAAAAACCACCCUGAGUGUGUUGGCCCCACAGAAGAGGAGUUUUCAGCACGUGACCUGCGGCCGCACUGCCUGGCCUGUUUCCCAGCACUCAGUGAAAGGUAAGUGAGAAAGCAAGCUUGUUUUCAGCAGGCACAAAUCCAAGGAAUUGGCUGUGUGACUGGGAGAUGGCUCCAUGGGUGGGAGAAAAAAGUAAAAAUGCCAGUAGGGAUUACUCCCACCCAGAAACAUGGAUAACCAGCAUGGCACCUCAUGGAGGGGAGGUUGCUUCAGAGCGCAACCGCCCUUCAUUUUGCUGUUGGUUUUUGUUGUAUCAAUGUGAGAUACUCCUGUGUCAGUCUCUCCUUGAACCUCUGUCUUCUAAGGGCUGAAAUAAAAAACCAGCAGAGAACCA
RNAcentral lists this long non-coding RNA (734 nucleotides) under Athene cunicularia (burrowing owl). RNAcentral's name for it is "lncRNA (ENSACUG00000002982.1)". Lineage: Eukaryota; Metazoa; Chordata; Aves; Strigiformes; Strigidae. The record is from RNAcentral.